GGGGGUGGGGGGUGGCUUAGUGAAAGAGUCUCUGCUUUGCAUGCAAGAGAUUUAAGGUUCGAUCCCCGACAUCUCCA
Molecule: transfer RNA, 77 nt
Filed under: Sphaerodactylus townsendi
Lineage: Eukaryota; Metazoa; Chordata; Lepidosauria; Squamata; Sphaerodactylidae
Description: tRNA-Ala
Source: RNAcentral